UACGUAUGGUGCAAGCGUUGUUCGGAAUCACUGGGCGUAAAGCGCGCGCAGGCGGAUUGUUAAGUUGGAUGUGAAAUCUUGGGGCUCAACCCUGAGGCUGCAUCCAAAACUGGCGAUCUGGAGUCUCGGAGAGGUAGGCGGAAUAUCUGGUGUAGCGGUGAAAUGCGUAGAUAUCAGAUGGAACACCGAUGGCGAAGGCAGCCUACUGGACGAUGACUGACGCUCAGGCGCGAAAGCGUGGGGAGCAAACAGGAUUAGAUACCCUGGUAGUCCACGCCCUAAACGUUGUCGACCAGACGUCGGGGGAGUCAACCCCCCCGGUGUCGAACCUAACGGAUUAAGUCGACCGCCUGGGGACUAUGCUCGCAAGAGUGAA
RNAcentral lists this ribosomal RNA (376 nucleotides) under uncultured bacterium. RNAcentral describes it as "bacterial SSU rRNA". It matches the Rfam family "Bacterial small subunit ribosomal RNA", at positions 524 to 898 of the family's 1533-position model. The record is from RNAcentral.